This is a long non-coding RNA of Myotis davidii, 231 nucleotides long. RefSeq lists it as uncharacterized. The transcript has 3 exons. The record is from RefSeq and is a predicted model, not a curated record. Lineage: Eukaryota; Metazoa; Chordata; Mammalia; Chiroptera; Vespertilionidae.
UGAAACCUACUACCAGGACAGCACACAAGUCACCCAGCAGCGGAACCCAGACAGGUCUUUGCUGGCUGCCGUCCCACUCAUAACUCCUCCAGGAACCCAGGGGCAAGGUGAGUGUCAGCCUCCCUUGGCUGGCAUUCCCCUUUGGGAAUCCGAAACUCCAAAGCCCACCCUGGCCCCAUGGAUAUGAUACCAGACCAGUAAUCCGGUAACCGGGGGAUGAGUCACUUGGAA